GGUCCCGUAGUUUAAUGGAUAAAAUCUCAGAUUCCGGUUCUGAGGCUGUGGGUUCGAUUCCCGCCGGGAUCA
Molecule: transfer RNA, 72 nt
Filed under: Bacteroidota bacterium
Lineage: Bacteria; Pseudomonadati; Bacteroidota
Description: Bacteroidetes bacterium tRNA-Arg
Rfam family: tRNA
About the family: Transfer RNA (tRNA) molecules are approximately 80 nucleotides in length. Their secondary structure includes four short double-helical elements and three loops (D, anti-codon, and T loops). Further hydrogen bonds mediate the characteristic L-shaped molecular structure. tRNAs have two regions of fundamental functional importance: the anti-codon, which is responsible for specific mRNA codon recognition, and the 3' end, to which the tRNAs corresponding amino acid is attached (by aminoacyl-tRNA synthetases). tRNAs cope with the degeneracy of the genetic code in two manners: having more than one tRNA (with a specific anti-codon) for a particular amino acid; and 'wobble' base-pairing, i.e. permitting non-standard base-pairing at the 3rd anti-codon position.
Source: RNAcentral